Carcharodon carcharias (great white shark) is the source of this 1087-nucleotide long non-coding RNA. RefSeq lists it as uncharacterized. Lineage: Eukaryota; Metazoa; Chordata; Chondrichthyes; Lamniformes; Lamnidae. The transcript is spliced from 2 exons. The record is from RefSeq and is a predicted model, not a curated record.
AUCCCAGGACUGAAAUGAUUGAUCUCCAACAACCACAACCGUCUUCCUUUGUGCUAGGAGCUGAAUGGCCUUGGUGGAACCCAUUGGCAGAACUGGUUGUCACAGUCCAGAUCCUAGCGGCCUACAAGGAAAACUGCCCUCGAAUUUGGCCCUAAUUAACAGUCUUUAUCAAGAAGAAUGAGUGUUUGGCUGAUAUGGUAAUAGGAAAAAUGUCUCACUGGUGCAUCCACAGAUACAUUUCAAAGAUUGCAACUGAGGCACAAUGUUGAGACAGAAUAAAGUAAGUUUUCCUCUGCAUCUAAUAUAACUGUGCAGGAUCUGACAAUGCUUAAUGCUCCUACCAUGUCCAAGAUGUAACAUAUUCCAUUCACCAAUGUUCAUGAUUAGCACAAAAUUGACAAAAGAAAAAUAUUAAGAUCUUGGGCAUUACAAACAGGGUAAAUGUGAAGACACUCUCAGCUUUUCUGUUCCUCAUUGUAAAAUUGAGAUUUUUAAAGUCAUUCAGAAAAUCUGGUUAGUCUACUUAUAUUCAAAAUAUGUGCACUUAAAGGGCACAUUCCUCUUCCUUUGUGAUCCCCUGCACAUCAUCUGUUCCAUGUAUGUUGGAUCUCAGUUCAUAGCAGAUAGUGCUUUUCAACAAAAGGUUAGGUUGUAAAGCAGCUAUUCCUUUAUUGGUGUAAAUGAGGCAUAUUCUGAAGAUGCAGCUUUUUGGGUGCUAUUUAUAAAUGUUUUUUUAGGUUAUAAUGUAUAGUUCAAAUAAAGCAAAUUGUUAAAGCCUCAAACAGGACAUGACCUCUCCCCUCCACCUUAAAAAAAUAAUUUGGUGUACUGGAGCAAGAUCAGACCUGGUUGCUUUCCUCUCACUAGUUCGAAUGCACCAGUGUUCUUGAACUUGGACAUUGUUUUAAUGCUCUUAAACCAACUGUGGAAAUAUCAACAUUGAACCAUGCUUACCAGAUGUAUUCCACAUUUGAAAAUGUCCUUAAGGAGUUGGGCAAAAAUGAAUCCAUAUGAACUAUGUGAUCUUUUUAAGGAUUUUCUUUCAAGUGACAAACAUAUUAAUAAAAAUACCCUAUUUUCAGGUUAA